CAUGCAAGUCGUACGAGAAAUCUGGAGCAAUUUGGAGAGUACAGUGGCGCACGGGUGAGUAACGCGUGGGUAACCUACCCUGGGGUUGGGGAUAACUCCUCGAAAGGGGUGCUAAUACCGAAUAACAUUUCGAUCUCCCCGGAGAUUGAAAUCAAAGGUGGCCUCUGCAUGCAAGCUACUGCCCGAGGAUGGGCCCGCGUACCAUUAGCUAGUUGGUAGGGUAACGGCCUACCAAGGCUGCGAUGGUUAGCUGGUCUGAGAGGAUGGCCAGCCACACUGGAACUGAGACACGGUCCAGACUCCUACGGGAGGCAGCAGUGGGGAAUCUUGCGCAAUGGGGGAAACCCUGACGCAGCAACGCCGCGUGGGUGAUGAAGGCCUUCGGGUCGUAAAGCCCUGUCAGGUGGGAAGAAACCCAUCGGUGCAAACAGCACCGGUGAUGACG
RNAcentral lists this ribosomal RNA (445 nucleotides) under uncultured bacterium. RNAcentral describes it as "bacterial SSU rRNA". It matches the Rfam family "Bacterial small subunit ribosomal RNA", at positions 54 to 474 of the family's 1533-position model. The record is from RNAcentral.